This 760-nucleotide ribosomal RNA is filed under the name Xyalidae sp. 1 TJP-2019. RNAcentral's name for it is "SSU rRNA". It matches the Rfam family "Eukaryotic small subunit ribosomal RNA", at positions 84 to 847 of the family's 1831-position model. The record is from RNAcentral. Lineage: Eukaryota; Metazoa; Nematoda; Chromadorea; Monhysterida; Xyalidae.
GAGCCGCGAAUAGCUCAUUACAACAGCCGUUGUUUCUUAGACCUCCUAAAUACUUGGAUAACUGUGGUAAUUCUAGAGCUAAUACACGCAACAGAGCUCCGACCGAAAGGGACGAGCGCAUUUAUUAGAACAAAACCAAUCGGCGCUUCGGUGCUGACGUUUGGUGACUCUGAAUAACUGAGCAGAUCGCUUCGGUCUUGUACCGGCGACAUAUCUUUCAAGUGUCUGCCUUAUCAAGUUUCGAUGUUAGGUUAUGUUCCUAACAUGCUUUUAACGGGUAACGGAAAAUCAGGGUUUGAUUCCGGAGAGGGAGCCUGAGAAACGGCUACCACUUCUAAGGAAGGCAGCAGGCGCGCAAAUUACCCACUCUCAGAUCGAGGAGGUAGUGACGAAAAAUAACGAGACGGUUCUCUCGUGAGUACCGUCAUCGGAAUGAGAACAAUCUAAACCCUUUAACGAGGACCUAGCGGAGGGCAAGUCUGGUGCCAGCAGCCGCGGUAAUUCCAGCUCCGCCAGUGUAUAUCUAUGCUGCUGCGGUUAAAAAGCUCGUAGUUGGAUCAGCGUGCUAGGAGCCGGUCCGCCUUCUCGGUGUGCACUGGUCUCCGGCACUGAACCGUUGGUUUUCUCUUGAUGCCUUUAACCGGGUGUCCUGAGUGGCCGACAAGUUUACUUUGAAAAAAUUAGAGUGCUUAAAACAGGCGUUUCGCUUGAAUAUAUGUGCAUGGAAUAAUAGAAUAGGACCUUGGUUCUAUUUUGUUGG